CUCUUUGCGAGCUCUGUGCUGCUGGCAAGCUGUUUUCCCACUGACAAGAGAGUUUUGAAGAUUUUGCAAACAUGGAAAUCCUUAAGGAAAUACAAAUCACCAAAAAUCUUACUCAGAAGAGAUAAGCACUGAUGUGGUGUGGAACAUUGGAUGUAGACAAAAGUGGAUGCAGAGAGACUAGUAAGGAGACUGUCAUAGUACUCCAGGGCAUGAGAUCAAGACUGAGUGUAAAGCAGAGGUGGCUUGCUGUUCUGAUGAUCAAGGCUGUGCUUCACGACUUGUGUGGAGCUAAUGAGGUGGUUUAAACGAGCUACUUCAACAGAAUCAUCAUAUUUAAUUAAUUUAUUUUAUUUUAAUUCAUUAAUUGUAAUGAAUUCUUUUCACUAUUGCUUGAGAGAGAAUGACAUAAAACAAUUGUUUUUU
RNAcentral lists this long non-coding RNA (423 nucleotides) under Homo sapiens (human). Its description in RNAcentral is "HSALNT0009272". Lineage: Eukaryota; Metazoa; Chordata; Mammalia; Primates; Hominidae. The record is from RNAcentral.